This 639-nucleotide ribosomal RNA is filed under the name uncultured bacterium. Its description in RNAcentral is "bacterial SSU rRNA". The stretch from base 1 to 531 matches the Rfam family "Bacterial small subunit ribosomal RNA", at positions 338 to 873 of the family's 1533-position model. The record is from RNAcentral.
CCUACGGGAGGCAGCAGUGGGGAAUUUUCCGCAAUGGGCGAAAGCCUGACGGAGCAAUACCGCGUGAGGGAGGAAGGCUCUUGGGUCGUAAACCCUCUUUUCUCAGGGAAGAAGAAAGUGACGGUACCUGAGGAAUAAGCAUCGGCUAACGUCCGUGCCAGCAGCCGCGGUAAUACGGAGGAUGCAAGCGUUAUCCGGAAUGAUUGGGCGUAAAGGGUCCGCAGGUGGCUGUGUAAGUCUGCUGUUAAAGAGUCAUGCUUAACAUGAUAAGAGCAGUGGAAACUACAUAGCUAGAGUACGUUCGGGGCAGAGGGAAUUCCUGGUGUAGCGGUGAAAAUGCGUAGAUAUCAGGAAGAACACCGGUGGCGAAAAGCGCUCUGCUAGGCCGUAACUGACACUGAGGGACGAAAGCUAGGGGAGCGAAAUGGGAUUAGAUACCCCAGUAGUCCUAGCCGUAAACGAAUGGAUACUAGGNGNGCGUGUAUACGACCGACGCGCGUCGUCGUCUACGUACGUAACGUAAGUACCGCCGUCGGUAGGUACGGACGACGACGAACGAGUAGAACGAACGUAAAGUAAAGUAAAGUUAAGUUAGGUACGUUGUUAGAAGAGCGACGGACGACGACGACGGAGGAGGAG